UUUGACCUCGGAUCAGGUAGGGAUACCCGCUGAACUUAAGCAUAAUCAAUAAGCGGAGGAAAAGAAACCAACAGGGAUUUGCCCUAGUAACGGCGAGUGAAGCGGCAACAGCUCAAAUUUGAAAUCUGGCGUCUUCGGCGUCCGAGUUGUAAUUUGCAGAGGGCGCUUUGGCAUUGGCAGCGGUCCAAGUUCCUUGGAACAGGACGUCACAGAGGGUGAGAAUCCCGUACGUGGUCGCUAGCCUUUACCGUGUAAAACCCCUUCGACGAGUCGAGUUGUUUGGGAAUGCAGCUCUAAAUGGGAGGUAAAUUUCUUCUAAAGCUAAAUACUGGCCAGAGACCGAUAGCGCACAAGUAGAGUGAUCGAAAGAUGAAAAACACUUUGGGAAAGAGAGUUAAAAAGCACGUGAAAUUGUUGAAAGGGAAGCGCUUGCAGCCAGACUUGCCCGUAGUUGGUCAUCCGGGUUUUUACCCGGUGCCCUUUUCUAUAGGCAGGCCAGCAUCAGGUUGGGCGGUUGGAUAAAGGUUUUUGUCAUGACCUCU
RNAcentral lists this ribosomal RNA (542 nucleotides) under Didymella glomerata. RNAcentral's name for it is "eukaryotic LSU rRNA". It matches the Rfam family "Eukaryotic large subunit ribosomal RNA", at positions 1 to 542 of the family's 3401-position model. Lineage: Eukaryota; Fungi; Ascomycota; Dothideomycetes; Pleosporales; Didymellaceae. The record is from RNAcentral.